RNAcentral lists this ribosomal RNA (405 nucleotides) under Vibrio sp. P12-26. RNAcentral describes it as "bacterial SSU rRNA". It matches the Rfam family "Bacterial small subunit ribosomal RNA", at positions 62 to 452 of the family's 1533-position model. The record is from RNAcentral. Lineage: Bacteria; Pseudomonadati; Pseudomonadota; Gammaproteobacteria; Vibrionales; Vibrionaceae.
UCGAGCGGAAACAGAGUUAUCUGAACCUUCGGGGAACGAUAACGGCGUCGAGCGGCGGACGGGUGAGUAAUGCCUGGGAAAUUGCCCUGAUGUGGGGGAUAACUAUUGGAAACGAUAGCUAAUACCGCAUAACGUGCUACGGACCAAAGAGGGGGACCUUCGGGCCUCUCGCUUCAGGAUAUGCCCAGGUGGGAUUAGCUAGUUGGUGAGGUAAUGGCUCACCAAGGCGACGAUCCCUAGCUGGUCUGAGAGGAUGAUCAGCCACACUGGAACUGAGACACGGUCCAGACUCCUACGGGAGGCAGCAGUGGGGAAUAUUGCACAAUGGGCGCAAGCCUGAUGCAGCCAUGCCGCGUGUAUGAAGAAGCCUUCGGGUUGUAAAGUACUUUCAGUCGUGAGGAAGGC